UUUUUUUUUUUUUUUUAAAUUGAAAAAGGGCUCUCGGUGCAAUGUUAUGACCCUAAGCACAAGAAGGAUGUGAUAUGCCUUAUGGAGAAAACAGAUCUUUGGAUUUACUCAGGCAUGAACUAUAGUGCUGUUCACUAUGACUCCAAAGUUAAUGAAGCAACAAUAUAUAUUCAAUAAGAUGUCUUUAAACACAAACACAUAUAAAACAAGAUUAUGUGUUGAUCACUUGACAAAAAUUCUGUGAGCAGAGGCUGGCAGGACCCUAACCCUAUUUCCCCUGAGCGCAAUGUCCAUAUCCACUAAUUUGGUGUUCACAGCAACUUUACAUAAGUACCACGAAUUACAAGAAUCGGCUGUACUUCGUUAAAGAAAAUUCUGUAAGAAAAAAAAUAGAGCAAUGGAACUGAAAAGAGAGUCUGGAAAUAGGCCCAUGUAAACACGGCUAUGACCAGCAUAGAGAUCAGUAGAAAAAAGCUGACCUAUACAAGAACUGUUCUGGGACAAAUGAAUAUAAAUCUGGGUAAAAUGAAAAGGAACCCUCACCUCACAACAUAGAAAAACUUAAUCCAGAUAAAACGUGGACAGCAAAGUUUAUGCCUAUGAAAAGAAAACAGUUAAUUUUUUUAAUUAGAAAAGAGCUCUAACAUUUUGAUUUAGGUAGCUAUUUCAUUAUCAAAACACAAAAAGAUCCACAAAGGAAAAUGAAAAACUUUUGAUCAUCAAAGGACACUGAACAUGUAAAAAGACAAGCCAGAAACCGGAAAAAGAUACUUGCCACAUGUGUAACUAAAAACAGUAAGAAAAAGGCAAACAACCCAACAGAAAAAUAGACAAAGACAUGAACAAGUAUUUAACAGAAGAUAAAAUUCAAAAGACUAAUAAAUGUAAGUAAAAGAUUCAAUAAUAUUCAGAAACAGACAUUAAAAUCUCAAUGAACUACCAUUUUAUACAAAUCAACAAAACUUAAAACCACUUACAAUACCAAGUGUUGGAGAAAAUGUGGAAGAAUAGGAACUCUUCCACUGCUAGUGGGAGUACAAAAACCUUUGAAAACAAUCCAUCCUUGGCUAGUGAAAUUAAAAAUGCACAUUCCCUGUGACAUAGCCUUUCUACUUCUCAGUAUCAAUACUACAGGAACUUGAAAUAUGCCUCAGGAGAAAAGUAUAAGAAUGUCCACAACAAAAGCAUAAAUGGAAAUUACAAAAAUCUUGGUGAAAAAAAAAAUGCCCUUACAUUCAAGAAUAAGCAAUUGGAUAAAGUACACUACAUUCACUAAGUUGAAAUGUUUACACAGCAAUGGAAAUCAAUAACUGAUUGUUUGCUAUGACUACUUCCUUAUCAUAUGAAUGAAUUUAAAAAACACUGCUAAAUGGACAAAACAACUAAUCACAAGAAUAUAUACAGUACAAUCCCACUUAAAAUUUAAAAACACAAAAUUAGGAGUUCCCGUCAUGGCGCAGUGGUUAACGAAUCCGACUGGGAACCAUGAGGUUGCGGGUUCGGUCCCUGCCCUUGCUCAGUGGGUUAACGAUCCGGCGUUGCCGUGAGCUGUGUGGUCAUCUCACGUAGCCACAGUUCUAAGUUUUGGAAGUAUGUCAUCUGUUUAACCCUCCUGUUCGAUCUGAGUUCAAUCAUGAAUAUGCACUGAAAUGUGAGCAAGUUAUUGGUAUCUUUAUGCCUGAUUUCUUCUUUGUAAAACAGAACUAUUAACAGCUAUUUCAGUCAUUGUGAAGUUUAAAUGACAAAAAAAAAAAGUUUUUAAAGUAUCUAGUUGUGCCUGGCUUGUAGUCAGUAGUCAAAAAAUCAUAGUUAUUAUGAUGAAAGCUGAGAGUGGGAAAGUCCCAGACAAAUGGGAGAGCUUAUGAGUCAAAUAACCCCCAAGCAUCUUCUGCCUCUAAACAGAGAGACUAAUUAUAUAUGACGUACUGGGAACAUAUACAGGACUAAAUCCUUUUCCCUCCAAAAUAAGACCAGCGUGGGCAAAGGUAAUACAUAUAUAUAUAUAUGGACAAAGCACUUUGUGAAUACCAAGGAAUUGACUCUCUUCAAGGAGGUCAGUCACAUAUAAACCUGAGUCUUAAAAGAGAGCCCCAGGAAUUCCUAGGUGAAAAAUAAGGAGGAAAAGCAAAGUAAAAGUGAGAGAUGCAGUGUGACUGGUGUGGAGUGAGAGGGAGGACGGCUGGAAGAUGAAGAUGGGCUGGCCAGACCAGAUGGCAAGGGACCAAGGGCCUGUUUAAAAGUCUGUACUUCACCCUUCAGGGAGAUGAAGGACGGUGGGGGGAAUCUAACACGUUAAUUUGAUACCAAUCCUUCUAGAAAAGGCAAAACACCUUUAUGACUUUAAAUCCUAUAAAGAUCCACCAUCUGUUACAUCUAAAAUGAAAAAUAAAUUUUAAGCCCGAAUUCUUAAAAACAUGAGCAAUUUGCCUAUCAACAAUGACUGACAAUGGAACCUAUUCUCAUUUCAUUACUUCAAUGACCCUUGUUAUCAAUCACACUGACCAUUGUGACAAGAGCAGAUAACAUCUACAUUCACUAUGUGCCUUGUACUAUGUUGUUUUAUAUGUGUUAUCGUUCAAUUCUCACAACACCUUUAUAAGAAAUACUACUUAAUUUACUCCCUCUUACAGAUGGAAAAACUAAAGCAAAAAGAACGUUUAGUCAGUGAGUAAAAGAUUCGUAUCGCAGCUGCUUGACUCCAAGGGCCUAAAUUUAAACCAAUCUGCUGAAAUGACACCACUCUGUUCAUUUACAUCAUUUGCUCAAAAACUGUAUGUGUACCUACCGUACUUUAAAGCAUCAUGCUAGGUCAGUGAGUCUCAAAUUUUACUGUGUAUUAGAACUACCUAGGCAGAUUCCUACAUUCUGGUAAGUCUAGGGUGGAAUUUCCAGAGAUCUGCACUAUAAGUCCAAUCAAUUCUGAUUCACUUGGUCCAUGAACUAUAUAUACUCUGGUAAACCCUGAGCUAGGUGUCCUAGAGAUUCAAGUAUAUUUGAGCCUCCUGUCUCCAUGAGUUUACAAUCUAAAAGGGGUAAAAACAAGAUACAUAAACAGCGUAUACAAAGCAAUACAGGAAGACUAUAGUUCACUUGGUCCAUGAACUAUAUAUACUCUGGAAAACCCUGAGCUAGGUGUCCUAGAGAUUCAAGUAUAUUUGAGCCUCCUGUCUCCAUGAGUUUACAAUCUAAAAGGGGUAAAAACAAGAUACACAAACAGCGUAUACAAAGCAAUACAGGAAGACUUCAAGGAAGAAGGGUCAUCUGUAAUGAAAUGAAGAUGACAAGGAUUUCAUGAAGAAAGGGAACACAUUUCCUGCACUUUCAGGAAUAAUGUUCCAUACAAAGGAAGGUAUGGUGAGUAGACAGCGUGGCAGGAACAGGGGAUCUGC
Molecule: long non-coding RNA, 3389 nt
Filed under: Sus scrofa (pig)
Lineage: Eukaryota; Metazoa; Chordata; Mammalia; Artiodactyla; Suidae
Description: lncRNA (ENSSSCG00040050630.1)
Source: RNAcentral